GCCAUGGGGGCCUAGCGGUCUCGCGUCCCGCGGCCUGACCUCCCCGAACGCCGGGUCCCGUGACGUCACCUCGCCGUGACGCGCACGCUGUAGGAAAACUGAUUAAGUACACGGAUUUACCAUAUAUCCUAUGACCCUUUACUGGAGCCUAGUGAGAUAGAUUGACUCCUCUUUCUUCCUGGCUACUGUUUUGACUUCACCUCUACAAAACUGCUGCUCUGACCCAAAACAUACAGUUUGGAUUCUCUCCUGUAUUGAUAGUCCUGUCUCGACCUGAG
Molecule: long non-coding RNA, 278 nt
Organism: Pteropus alecto (black flying fox)
Lineage: Eukaryota; Metazoa; Chordata; Mammalia; Chiroptera; Pteropodidae
Exons: 3
Source: RefSeq, a predicted model, not a curated record